GCGCUGGUGGCUCAGUGGUAGGUUUCUCGCCUACUGUGCGGAAGGCCUGGGUUCGAGUCCCAGCCAGUGCC
Hemibagrus wyckioides is the source of this 71-nucleotide non-coding RNA. The record is from the annotation of a RefSeq genome assembly. NCBI's taxonomy places the organism in Eukaryota, Metazoa, Chordata, Actinopteri, Siluriformes, Bagridae.